This 328-nucleotide ribosomal RNA is filed under the name uncultured eukaryote. Its description in RNAcentral is "partial 18S ribosomal RNA". It matches the Rfam family "Eukaryotic small subunit ribosomal RNA", at positions 1470 to 1796 of the family's 1831-position model. The record is from RNAcentral.
CCCUUAGAUGUCCUGGGCCGCACGCGCGUUACACUGAUGCAUUCAACGAGCUUAUAACCUUGGCCGAGAGGCCUGGGCAAUCUUGUUAACGUGCAUCGUGAUAGGGAUAGAUUAUUGAAAUUAUUAAUCUUGAACGAGGAAUUCCUAGUAAACGCAGAUCAUCAAUCUGCAUAGAUUACGUCCCUGCCCUUUGUACACACCGCCCGUCGCACCUACCGAUUGGAUGGUCCGGUGAAGCCUCGGGAUUGUGGUUCUUGCCGCUUUAUUGUGGCGUGACCGCGAGAACUUGUCUAAACCUUAUCAUCUAGAGGAAGGUGAAGUCGUAACA